AAUAUCCGACAAUGGGGGCAACCGUGAUCCAGCCAUGCCGCGUGUGUGAAGAAGGUCCUCGGAUUGUAAUGCACUAUGAGUUGGGAGGAAGGGCUUUAGGCUAAUACCCUGCAGUUGUGACGUUACCAACAGAAAAAGCCCCGGCCAACCCUGUCCCCACAGCCGCGGUAAUACAGAGGGUGCAAGCGUUAAUCGGAAUUACUGGGCGUAAAGCGCACGUAGGUGGUUCAGUAAGAUGGGUGUGAAAGCCCCGGGCUUAACCUGGGAACUGCAUUCAUAACUGCUAAGCUAGAGUACGGUAGAGGGUAGUGGAAUUUCCUGUGUAGCGGUGAAAUGCGUAGAUAUAGGAAGGAACACCAGUGGCGAAGGCGACUACCUGGACUGAUACUGACACUGAGGUGCGAAAGCGUGGGGAGCAAACAG
RNAcentral lists this ribosomal RNA (423 nucleotides) under uncultured bacterium. RNAcentral describes it as "partial 16S ribosomal RNA". It matches the Rfam family "Bacterial small subunit ribosomal RNA", at positions 360 to 775 of the family's 1533-position model. The record is from RNAcentral.